GUUUUAAUUCUCUAACAGGCUCUUCAUUAUCUGUGAUUUGCAUUUUUUGAGUAAUUUUGUUCGUCGAGAUGGCGAUUAAUGGUAACGAAUAGAGGAAGAUAUGAAAAUGGAAGAAUGCAAAGCGACGGCAGUGUAUAUGUGCGGUUAUCUUCCCGGAGUUUCCCCGGAGAAAUCGCCGAUACUCUCUCUGGUUCCAGUACCUCUUCCGGCAUCAUCAAGUCACUGCGGUGAUUCAUGGAAGGAUGUUUGCGGUGGUGGAUGUGGAUUUGCCAUGGCCAUUUCAGGAUCCGGAAAGCUCGUAACUUGGGGUUCGACAGAUGAUGAAGGUCAAAGCUAUAUGACUUCUGGGAAGCAUGGGGAGAUACCAGAGCCUUUUCCUCUUCCACAUGAAGCUUCAGUAGUGAAGGCUGCGGCUGGCUGGGCG
This 424-nucleotide unclassified non-coding RNA is filed under the name Hevea brasiliensis (rubber tree). Lineage: Eukaryota; Viridiplantae; Streptophyta; Magnoliopsida; Malpighiales; Euphorbiaceae. The record is from RNAcentral.